UACGGAGGGGGUUAGCGUUGUUCGGAAUGACUGGGCGUAAAGCGCGCGUAGGCGGAUCAUCAAGUCGGGGGUGAAAUCCCGGGGCUCAACCCCGGAAUGGCCUUCGAGACUGGCGGUCUUGAGUUCGAGAGAGGUGAGUGGAAUUCCGAGUGUAGAGGUGAAAUUCGUAGAUAUUCGGAGGAACACCAGUGGCGAAGGCGGCUCACUGGCUCGACACUGACGCUGAGGUGCGAAAGCGUGGGGAGCAAACAGG
This 253-nucleotide ribosomal RNA is filed under the name uncultured bacterium. Its description in RNAcentral is "partial 16S ribosomal RNA". It matches the Rfam family "Bacterial small subunit ribosomal RNA", at positions 524 to 776 of the family's 1533-position model. The record is from RNAcentral.